Molecule: ribosomal RNA, 996 nt
Filed under: uncultured bacterium
Lineage: Bacteria
Description: bacterial SSU rRNA
Rfam family: Bacterial small subunit ribosomal RNA
Source: RNAcentral
GUGCCAGCCGCCGCGGUACCAUGAGGGAUCCUAGCGUUGUUCGGAAUCAUUGGGCGUAAAGCGGGUGUAGGCGGACUUAUAAGUCAGGUGUGAAAUCCCAGGGCUCAACCCUGGAAGUGCACUUGAUACUGCAAGUCUUGAGUGUGGUAGAGGCUAUUAGAAUUCCUGGUGUAGUGGUGAAAUACGUAGAUAUCAGGAGGAAUACCGGAGGCGAAGGCGGAUAGCUGGGCCAACACUGACGCUGAGACCCGAAAGCGUGGGGAUCAAACAGGAUUAGAUACCCUGGUAGUCCACGCUGUAAACGAUGGAUACUUGUUGUUAGAGGUAUUGACCCCUCUAGUGACGCAGCUAACGCGUUAAGUAUCCCGCCUGGGGAGUACGGUCGCAAGAUUAAAACUCAAAGAAAUUGACGGGGGCCCGCACAAGCGGUGGAGCAUGUGGUUUAAUUCGAUGCAACGCGAAGAACCUUACCCGGGCUUGACAUGAACUGGAAGAGUGGCAGAGAUGUCCUCGCUCGCAAGAGUCGGUUCACAGGUGCUGCAUGGCUGUCGUCAGCUCGUGUCGUGAGAUGUUGGGUUAAGUCCCGCAACGAGCGCAACCCUUACCUUUAGUUGCCAGCAUUUAGUUGGGCACUCUAAAGGGACUGCCUGCGUUAAGCAGGAGGAAGGUGGGGAUGACGUCAAGUCCUCAUGGCCCUUAUGUCCGGGGCUACACACGUGCUACAAUGGUGGUCACAGAGGGAAGCCAAGCCGCAAGGUGGAGCCAAUCCCUUAAAAGCCAUCUAAGUUCAGAUUGGUCUCUGCAACUCGAGACCAUGAAGUUGGAAUCGCUAGUAAUCGCGGAUCAGAAUGCCGCGGUGAAUACGUUCCCGGGCCUUGUACACACCGCCCGUCACACCAUGAAAGUUGGUCGUACCAGAAGUCGCUGUGCUAACCGCAAGGAGGUAGGCGCCCAAGGUAUGGUCGAUGAUAGGGGUGAAGUCGUAACAAGGUAACC